This is a long non-coding RNA of Quercus lobata, 711 nucleotides long. RefSeq lists it as uncharacterized. The record is from RefSeq and is a predicted model, not a curated record. Lineage: Eukaryota; Viridiplantae; Streptophyta; Magnoliopsida; Fagales; Fagaceae. The transcript is spliced from 2 exons.
CAGAUUUGCAACAUGCUGAGAAAGAAGCAUGAGGAAGCCAAAGAAAUAUUAGUUCGAGCUAUUGUCAACAAUAACAAUUUGCUGAUGCUUAACCAUCCCAUCUAUGACGAGAAGAUAUCCUUACUUUCUCUGAUGUUAAGUUCUUUUUUUCUUUGUUCGGUUUUUAUUGUGUUGGAAAUUCCUUCAUGAUUGAGAACAUCCGUAAGAUUCAGAGUUUCGCUUCCCAACUGAUGUCCAAGGAGCUUCCAGCAUGAUUAGUGAGUGGCAGCAACAGUUUUCAUAUUAAGGGAAAGGCUAGAUGUUCUCUUUCAUCAUGGCUAAGUGGUGACGGCACGGUUAGACACUCACGUGUGAUGCUUCAUAGGUUGAAUUGGAUUUAUCAUUUGAACUGCCUACUUGCAAAUAUUCUCAAGCUGAUUUCUUGUCAGCUCAUGCAUGAGCAAUAUCAUUUCUGAUAAAUAAAUAAGGCUAAUUGUUAGUAAACACAUUGUUGCACACACUGUACACAAAUUAUUUCUUGAACUGAAAUUGUGUUUUGAAGUCAAGAUUUGAGUUUUAAAAAUUUUGAAUUGAAAUCAUGACUUCAAGACACGUUUUCAGUUCAAAAACUGAAUUGUGUGUAUUUUUUGUGUAAUAGAGCAGUGUGUAAUAAAUACUGCCCAAUAGAUAAUAACCAUGAUUUGAAUGCUUACAAGGUACCUAUUCUUUGUC